AUUCAAGUCACUUGGCAUCGGUUGCUUUAGUAGUAUGUAUGGACUUCUAUAUUUCUACGGAAUGCCUUUGUUCAAUUUGUCAAGUAUCUGCUUUCUAAAAAAAAUUAAAGCUGGACAAAGCCCUUUAAGUUGCAGUCAACUGAUAUAUUCAUGAAGAUGCUGUUAUUGUUUCCUAUUUUGACUGAUUGACUUCCUAUUUGUUUUUCUUUGCUAGGUUUUGCAUUUUCUUCAAUAUGAUGUAGCUUCCCGGAAAUUUAUCACAGAUGGUUUUUACUAUUAGUAUUUAGCCUUUUUUUGGUACUUGUAAAUAGAUAGUUAUAUCUGUAGAUAAAAUGGAACCAAAGGGGGUUG
Molecule: unclassified non-coding RNA, 351 nt
Filed under: Hevea brasiliensis (rubber tree)
Lineage: Eukaryota; Viridiplantae; Streptophyta; Magnoliopsida; Malpighiales; Euphorbiaceae
Source: RNAcentral